Molecule: long non-coding RNA, 452 nt
Filed under: Gossypium barbadense (sea-island cotton)
Lineage: Eukaryota; Viridiplantae; Streptophyta; Magnoliopsida; Malvales; Malvaceae
Description: long non-coding RNA (GBAR_LNC007986)
Source: RNAcentral
UCGUAGAUCUUCAAUCGCCGUCUUCCUUUUGUCUUUUUUUUUUCAACAUUAUCUGGUAAUUUUAUUUGUUUUUUCUACUGUUUUUUUAUAUAAUUUUAAUGCGUGAAUUUGAGUAAUUUUUUUUCUUGGAUAGGUUUAAGAAAUUUGCACGAAUUAUUGGAAAUUGCAUUUUCGAAGAAAUACAUUUACAUCUUCUUCGAAUUUUUGGAUUUUCUCCACCUCGUAAGUAAUUUUUUAGUUAUAUUCUUAUUUUCUUUGUAUUGCUGUUGUUGUUAUUAUUAUUUCUGAAAUUUGAUCUCUUUUCUUAUGGUAGCGUUGAUAAACAAAUUUUAAAAAAUUGGCUCCGCAAAGGCGAUCGCAGCGCCACACGGGUGGCCAGAUGCAGCAAAACAAUGCUGCUGCGACGGCGUUUUACGAUCACGCUGGAGGCGGUGGGUCCUUCAACAAUGCUG